GAAUGGUUUCAAAGUAACAUCGAGCUUGAUAAAAGCCAGGGAAGAGCACCAUCUUCAAAACUCGACGCAUAAUCUUGUCUUGGAUGCAUGGCUCAAGGACAAAACGGAAGGAAAAAUCGUGAAGAUGCCCAAACUUGCGAUGUUACUUGAAAAAGUAGCAAAGUCGGGUGCCGCGGUAUUCUAUAAUCGGACACUGCAAAUAGAUACAGAUUAUCUUAAUCCAGCUGAUAUUGCUAACUAUCAGCCAACUCGUGGCACACCAUGAAAGGAACUCUGAUGGGAUAUAACAUUAUAACUUCCGGCAGUGGAACUGGAGGUGCAACCCUUUAUAAUGCACUUCCUCAUCUCAAUAUAAGUUCAUCUAGCAUCAUCUCCUUUGUCAGUGCAUUUCACAGUGAUGCAGAAGCUAUAUGGCCCAUACCAGCUGGUUCUCAUGUGGCGGUUGCGGAUGUAAAUGAUGUGUAUGUUUCUAUCGUGAGUGGUCUUGGCUCAGUUUUGGGCUCGCAGUUGUUCACCGCAUCUGAAUACAUUUUGAACAAUGCGCUUGAAGUCAUCGGCGAAGGUGCGAAUAACACCACUAAGCAAGGCGACAAGAUCCCUACUCUCUCGGCUCCUAUCAUCGCUGUAAAGUCGAGUCAUAUCUGUGCAAGGCGAUUGAUCUUAGGUUCGAGUGAUGUGCGUGAUGGAGCUCAAGCUUUACUGUCAUUGUUAAACGGCGGUGAACAGGAGAAAAGCGUUAAAUCAAGUAUUGAAGCGACCAGAGUACGCUUUGUUGGCCAUGCCAUUCUUGAAGAAGAAGAGCAUGCUCCUAUCAUGCCAGCCAAGGAGCGCAGCACUCUGCAGCGAGCUUCGUAUGAUCUCAGUCGCGCUCCGUUACCUUACUCUACGGUCAAUGUCAUCCAGAAAGUGAGCGAUACAACAGUUGCUUACUCAGAUUCACGGGGCUCUGGUCAAGCGAUUGCUUUUUGA
Molecule: long non-coding RNA, 969 nt
Filed under: Bemisia tabaci
Lineage: Eukaryota; Metazoa; Arthropoda; Insecta; Hemiptera; Aleyrodidae
Description: lncRNA ENSSSA2NGG001656
Source: RNAcentral